RNAcentral lists this transfer RNA (68 nucleotides) under Trichonephila inaurata madagascariensis. It matches the Rfam family "tRNA". Rfam says of the family: Transfer RNA (tRNA) molecules are approximately 80 nucleotides in length. Their secondary structure includes four short double-helical elements and three loops (D, anti-codon, and T loops). The record is from Rfam by way of RNAcentral. Lineage: Eukaryota; Metazoa; Arthropoda; Arachnida; Araneae; Nephilidae.
GCCAGUAUGGUGGUUAUGACACUCGACUUUUAAUCGAGUGGGCUCGGGUUCGAAUCCCGAAUAAGGCA